CUUGCAAUAGAACAGGGAGCACAGGCAAGCAGCGUUCGUUUCUCAGGCACCCACUCCGAGCAUUUGAAGGAUGGGAACUUUUGUCCUGAUGACUGUGAGAUUGCACGGAGAAAACAGGGUUAGAAAAGUUAAUUGAGAUGGCCAACAUCCAUGACCUGGACAGCAGCUGCAGACACUUAAUUAAUCUUCACCAGCUGGUUGGUGACCUGGACAAGGCCCUGCCACACUCAGGACACCUGCCUCUUCACUCCACACAGGAAGAUUGGCUCUCGUCAGCCGGCUGAUGUUUUGGAAGCUGUGUGGAGGAAGUGAACUUUGAACUCUGCACCCUCCCUCCCCAAGGUUUCAUCUCUUAUGCCCACUUAAGAUGUAUUUUUGGAGAGGGGUGGACAAGGAAGACCCUCCAGAAGCAAAGCCAGAAGUCAUGGAGGAUCGUGGUCAAGGACAUUCCUCUAAAAGAGAAGAAAUGAAGUAGAAAAGUAAAACUUUAAAUCCACCCUUAGCUUAUCCAAAUUCUCAUCAUGCCUAAACAUGCAUGUCACACAUGGCACUUAGAAAACCUCUUGCAUCCUGAGAAAACUACACAAAAAAAGUGUAUCUGGUCUUUUCUUAAACUGCUCAAUAGUUUUGCUUAACACUAAACUCUAAAUAGAUUAAAUAUUGGGCCCUGUGAUAGGCAGCUUCUAACAUUGCUCUCUAUGGUCCCAUCUCCUGGUUUUCUCACUCCCUUUGUGUGACCUGCUCACCUUGAAUGUGGACUGGACCUAGUGAUAUACUUCUUCUUUUUUUGUUUGAUAAAUAUA
This is a long non-coding RNA of Myotis brandtii (Brandt's bat), 803 nucleotides long. RefSeq lists it as uncharacterized. The transcript is spliced from 3 exons. The record is from RefSeq and is a predicted model, not a curated record. NCBI's taxonomy places the organism in Eukaryota, Metazoa, Chordata, Mammalia, Chiroptera, Vespertilionidae.